AACGACUCUCAGCAACGGAUAUCUUGGCUCUUGCAACGAUGAAGAACGCAUCGAAAUGCGAUACCUAGUGUGAAUUGCAGAAUUCCGCGAAUCAUCGAGUCUUUGAACGCAAG
RNAcentral lists this ribosomal RNA (113 nucleotides) under Hygrobiella laxifolia. RNAcentral's name for it is "partial 5.8S ribosomal RNA". It matches the Rfam family "5.8S ribosomal RNA", at positions 1 to 110 of the family's 154-position model. From Rfam's summary of the family: 5.8S ribosomal RNA (5.8S rRNA) is a component of the large subunit of the eukaryotic ribosome. It is transcribed by RNA polymerase I as part of the 45S precursor that also contains 18S and 28S rRNA. Functionally, it is thought that 5.8S rRNA may be involved in ribosome translocation. The record is from RNAcentral. Lineage: Eukaryota; Viridiplantae; Streptophyta; Jungermanniopsida; Jungermanniales; Hygrobiellaceae.